CCCUAUGGGGUGCAGCUCGAUUUUGCCGAACCGGAAAAGGCCGAGCUGUACGACCGCCUUAAGAAGGCCAUGGCCCAAAAGGCAAAGCUGGAGCAGUGGAAGGCGGCCCAGGAAAACAUGCUCACCGCCGAGGCGAGGGUGGGCAAGGCCGAAUUCGAACAGCAGAAAAAGCUUCUCACGGCCGAGAAUCAGACCGUCACUAUCAAGGCGCAGAAACUAGAUCGGAGCAUCGCGGCCCUCCUGAAGUUGUGGAAACCCCAGUAUCCGAGCGAUAUCGGCAUGUUCGACAGCUCCGCCCAGGUGGACAUUCCAACAAUUCAAAGGGUCCUGAAUCAAAACCAGGCCUUGAUCCAGUAUUUCCCCCUGCGGGACAAAUUGAGCAUCCUCCUCGUGACCCAGAAUGAGGUCAAGUCCGCCGAAGUGAUCAUCUCUUAUGAGGAAUUGGCGGGAGGGC
Molecule: ribosomal RNA, 454 nt
Filed under: uncultured prokaryote
Description: partial 16S ribosomal RNA
Source: RNAcentral